UAGGGAAUCUUCCACAAUGGACGCAAGUCUGAUGGAGCAACGCCGCGUGAGUGAAGAAGGUUUUCGGAUCGUAAAGCUCUGUUGUUGGUGAAGAAGGAUAGAGGCAGUAACUGGUCUUUAUUUGACGGUAAUCAACCAGAAAGUCACGGCUAACUACGUGCCAGCAGCCGCGGUAAUACGUAGGUGGCAAGCGUUGUCCGGAUUUAUUGGGCGUAAAGCGAGCGCAGGCGGAAUGAUAAGUCUGAUGUGAAAGCCCACGGCUCAACCGUGGAACUGCAUCGGAAACUGUCAUUCUUGGGUGCAGAAGAGGAGAGUGGAAUUCCAUGUGUAGCGGUGGAAUGCGUAGAUAUAUGGAAGAACACCAGUGGCGAAGGCGGCUCUCUGGUCUGCAACUGACGCUGAGGCUCGAAAGCAUGGGUAGCGAACAGG
Molecule: ribosomal RNA, 429 nt
Filed under: bacterium
Lineage: Bacteria
Description: partial 16S ribosomal RNA
Rfam family: Bacterial small subunit ribosomal RNA
Source: RNAcentral